GUCAGCUGCUCCUAGUCCUAUUUCCUCACAGUCAUCUACAUUUGAUGUACAUUUCCCUUUACAGGCCCAGUCAUCUCCCUCAAGUAAGUCAUUCCCUGAUCAUGACAGGCACGAGCCAACACUCUGCGACAAUGUUCUCAUUGUUUGCAGUGAAUUUGGAGCCUGAUGCUAAGGAUGAAAGCCUUUGUCAGCUGUGCAGAAUGCUGCUGCUUCAUGAAAGGAGGGAGAUGGUGAAGACCUCAUAAAAUCUGAUCUCUGAA
Molecule: long non-coding RNA, 260 nt
Filed under: Phasianus colchicus (ring-necked pheasant)
Lineage: Eukaryota; Metazoa; Chordata; Aves; Galliformes; Phasianidae
Description: lncRNA (ENSPCLG00000004713.1)
Source: RNAcentral